CUCCUACGGGAGGCAGCAGUGGGGAAUUUUGGACAAUGGGGGCAACCCUGAUCCAGCCAUUCCGCGUGAGUGAAGAAGGCCUUCGGGUUGUAAAGCUCUUUCAGCUGGAACGAAACGGUACGCUCUAACAUAGCGUGCUAAUGACGGUACCAGCAGAAGAAGCACCGGCUAACUACGUGCCAGCAGCCGCGGUAAUACGUAGGGUGCGAGCGUUAAUCGGAAUUACUGGGCGUAAAGCGUGCGCAGGCGGAUUGUUAAGCAAGACGUGAAAUCCCCGGGCUUAACCUGGGAAUGGCGUUUUGAACUGGCAGUCUAGAGUGUGUCAGAGGGGGGUAGAAUUCCACGUGUAGCAGUGAAAUGCGUAGAGAUGUGGAGGAAUACCAAUGGCGAAGGCAGCCCCCUGGGAUAACACUGACGCUCAUGUACGAAAGCGUGGGUAGCAAACAGGAUUAGAUACCCUGGUAGUCCACGCCCUAAACGAUGUCAACUGGUUGUUGGGUCUUCACUGACUCAGUAACGAAGCUAACGCGUGAAGUUGACCGCCUGGGGAGUACGGCCGCAAGGUUGAAACUUAAAGGAAUUGACGG
RNAcentral lists this ribosomal RNA (587 nucleotides) under uncultured bacterium. RNAcentral describes it as "bacterial SSU rRNA". It matches the Rfam family "Bacterial small subunit ribosomal RNA", at positions 336 to 916 of the family's 1533-position model. The record is from RNAcentral.